This 165-nucleotide non-coding RNA is filed under the name chicken gut metagenome. RNAcentral's name for it is "Lysine riboswitch". It matches the Rfam family "Lysine riboswitch aptamer". Rfam says of the family: Riboswitches are metabolite binding domains within certain messenger RNAs that serve as precision sensors for their corresponding targets. Allosteric rearrangement of mRNA structure is mediated by ligand binding, and this results in modulation of gene expression. The record is from RNAcentral.
UAUGAUAGAGGCGCGGCCAGCCAUCAGUAGCUUCUCCACACAACGCCAGACAGCGGGGGAAGGGAAAGGGACUGCCGCCGAAGCGACGCACCGUUGUCUGACGGGACGGACGCUGGGCCGACGGAGAAUAUCCGGCGGACUGUCACGGAAACGUGGAGAGCUGUC